Molecule: non-coding RNA, 29 nt
Filed under: Mus musculus (house mouse)
Lineage: Eukaryota; Metazoa; Chordata; Mammalia; Rodentia; Muridae
Source: RNAcentral
UGGUAUUGAUGUUGUAAUCUGAGUUCAGC